UGGGGAAUUUUCCGCAAUGGGCGCAAGCCUGACGGAGCAAUCUCGCGUGAGGGAUGACGGCCUAUGGGUUGUAAACCUCUUUUUUCAGGGAGGAACAAAAUGACGUGUACCUGAAGAAUAAGCAUCGGCUAACUCCGUGCCAGCAGCCGCGGUAAGACGGAGGAUGCAAGUGUUAUCCGGAAUCACUGGGCGUAAAGCGUCUGUAGGUGGUUUAGUAAGUCAACUGUUAAAUCUUGAAGCUCAACUUCAAAAUCGCAGUCGAAACUAUUAGACUAGAGUAUAGUAGGGGUAAAGGGAAUUUCCAGUGGAGCGGUGAAAUGCGUAGAGAUUGGAAAGAACACCGAUGGCGAAGGCACUUUACUGGGCUAUUACUGACACUCAGAGACGAAAGCUAGGGUAGCAAAUGGGAUUAGAUACCCGUAGU
Molecule: ribosomal RNA, 424 nt
Filed under: uncultured bacterium
Lineage: Bacteria
Description: bacterial SSU rRNA
Rfam family: Bacterial small subunit ribosomal RNA
Source: RNAcentral